RNAcentral lists this ribosomal RNA (273 nucleotides) under uncultured bacterium. RNAcentral's name for it is "partial 16S ribosomal RNA". It matches the Rfam family "Bacterial small subunit ribosomal RNA", at positions 335 to 600 of the family's 1533-position model. The record is from RNAcentral.
ACUCCUACGGGAGGCAGCAGUGGGGAAUAUUGCACAAUGGGCGCAAGCCUGAUGCAGCCAUGCCGCGUGUGUGAAGAAGGCCUUCGGGUUGUAAAGCACUUUCAGCGAGGAGGAAGGUGGUGAACUUAAUACGUUCAUCAAUUGACGUUACUCGCAGAAGAAGCACCGGCUAACUCCGUGCCAGCAGCCGCGGUAAUACGGAGGGUGCAAGCGUUAAUCGGAAUUACUGGGCGUAAAGCGCACGCAGGCGGUUUGUUAAGUCAGAUGUGAAAU